Molecule: transfer RNA, 76 nt
Filed under: Gammaproteobacteria bacterium
Lineage: Bacteria; Pseudomonadati; Pseudomonadota; Gammaproteobacteria
Description: tRNA-Glu
Rfam family: tRNA
About the family: Transfer RNA (tRNA) molecules are approximately 80 nucleotides in length. Their secondary structure includes four short double-helical elements and three loops (D, anti-codon, and T loops).
Source: RNAcentral
GUCCCCUUCGUCUAGAGGCCUAGGACACCGCCCUUUCACGGCGGCAACACCGGUUCGACUCCGGUAGGGGACGCCA